AUACAACUUCUACUACGUUUCUCUCUCUAAAUUUCCAUCUCAACUGCACCUUACUUUCGUUCAUUUGAGAAUUGCGUUCUGCUCCUCCCUCUCGUUUUCCAAUGGCGAGGGUUUGUGCUAAACGAGAGACAUGUGGACUGUGGAUUUGCUUUGUUUUGAUCACCUUUUGUGCACGAAUCUCCCUUUCUGCGAGAUCUGAGUAGGAAAUCCGGGAAAGAUUUUACGGUAAUCUUU
This 234-nucleotide long non-coding RNA is filed under the name Panax ginseng (ginseng). Its description in RNAcentral is "long non-coding RNA (PGIN_LNC018799)". The record is from RNAcentral. Lineage: Eukaryota; Viridiplantae; Streptophyta; Magnoliopsida; Apiales; Araliaceae.